GACGAACGCUGGCGGCGUGCUUAACACAUGCAAGUCGAACGGUAAGGCUCCAGCUUGCUGGGGUACACGAGUGGCGAACGGGUGAGUAACACGUGGGUGACCUGCCCUGCACUUCGGGAUAAGCCUGGGAAACUGGGUCUAAUACCGGAUAGGACCAUGGUGUGGAUACUGUGGUGGAAAGUUUUUUCGGUGUGGGAUGGGCCCGCGGCCUAUCAGCUUGUUGGUGGGGUAAUGGCCUACCAAGGCGGCGACGGGUAGCCGGCCUGAGAGGGUGGACGGCCACAUUGGGACUGAGACACGGCCCAGACUCCUACGGGAGGCAGCAGCGGGGAAUAUUGCACAAUGGGCGGAAGCCUGAUGCAGCGACGCCGCGUGGGGGAUGACGGCCUUCGGGUUGUAAACUCCUUUCACCAUCGACGAAGGGUUUCUGACGGUAGAUGGAGAAGAAGCACCGGCUAACUACGUG
RNAcentral lists this ribosomal RNA (466 nucleotides) under uncultured bacterium. RNAcentral describes it as "partial 16S ribosomal RNA". It matches the Rfam family "Bacterial small subunit ribosomal RNA", at positions 28 to 507 of the family's 1533-position model. The record is from RNAcentral.